GGAAUGUGUUUUGAUUUAUCUUGUCUCCUUUUUCUGCCCAUCCCGAGUGCAGCACAGAGGGCAAUGCAGCCUUGGAGAAUGACCAGCGAAACAGCCGUGGAUAUACUGAUAUUCGUGAGAGCCGCCUGAGAAGCUGUAGGCUGCAAUCACUUAUACAGCUCCCCUGUGUUUAUGAUUUCGGAGCAGAAGUGUUUCCAACUUUGCCAUCUUUAAGACUUAUGGACUUCAACUCCCAGAAUUCUCCAGUCAGCAUGGACCUUGAAGAAGGCACGUGAAUAACUUACGCAUAAGACAAUAGAGGCUGACAUAUGGUGUUGGACAAAGCAAGCAAAUUUCUGUGAAAUGCCUUCCGGCAGCCUGGAGAUUACAUUCCAAAAAGAAUGCUGCUGUUUUAAGAAAGGAUAUAUCAUCGUCUUGAUAUCCCUUCUUUCUGACGACUGGUGUGCGGAUGUGUAAAAAUACAGCCAUCUCUAUUGUUCAUGUGAGUGCUAUUGCAGUUUGGCAUGCAUACCCCUGAAAUUCUGAAAAGAUGCAAGUUUGAAAACAGAAAAUGUCUGUCUGUAUUAUUCAUGGAUAUAUGCACCAUUGCAAAUUAAGUAUAUUUUUC
Long non-coding RNA from Ahaetulla prasina, 607 nucleotides. RefSeq lists it as uncharacterized. NCBI's taxonomy places the organism in Eukaryota, Metazoa, Chordata, Lepidosauria, Squamata, Colubridae. The record is from RefSeq and is a predicted model, not a curated record. The transcript is spliced from 5 exons.